RNAcentral lists this ribosomal RNA (218 nucleotides) under uncultured bacterium. RNAcentral describes it as "partial 16S ribosomal RNA". It matches the Rfam family "Bacterial small subunit ribosomal RNA", at positions 1282 to 1500 of the family's 1533-position model. The record is from RNAcentral.
UAGGUCUCAGUUCAGAUUGCAGGCUGCAACCCGCCUGCGUGAAGUCGGAAUUGCUAGUAAUCGCGGAUCAGCAUGCCGCGGUGAAUACGUUCCCGGGCCUUGUACACACCGCCCGUCACACCAUGGGAGCCGGUAAUACCCGAAGUCAGUAGUCCAACCUCGUGAGGACGCUGCCGAAGGUAGGAUUGGCGACUGGGGUGAAGUCGUAACAAGGUACC